Molecule: long non-coding RNA, 1763 nt
Organism: Brassica napus (rape)
Lineage: Eukaryota; Viridiplantae; Streptophyta; Magnoliopsida; Brassicales; Brassicaceae
Exons: 2
Source: RefSeq, a predicted model, not a curated record
AUCAGCAAGGACUGAGGGGCAAAACAUGACACGUGUACUCCUGCUUUUUAACAUUCAGCCGUCUUUUGAUUUUAGGAAACGAAGUGAACUUAUGCUUUUUCGUUGGCCCAUUACAAAUGCUUAUAUUGUUGUCCGUUUAAAUUAGGUCAAUAACCCAUUGCUUAAAAGUUAAAACGUUUUCGACCUCUCUCUCCUCUAUGGUCGAAACUCUCAUAGCUACCUCCGCCUUUCUGAAACCGUCAAAAUUACUCCAAUCAUCCACUCCUCUGCGAUUAAAGAUUUGAUGUGGUUGAUGGCAUUCAUUCAUAGCAAUAAAUUCAUCUGUCCAGCUUUCAAGCGUUCCUCACCUAUCUCAUACACUAUAUAUGAAUGAUGAACUCUCCUAGGUGUACUUUGUAAGGUUGCUGGUCUAAUACCAAUAUCUCGAGAAGGAGAAUGAUGAUGUGGAUAUCAAAAUUGGCAAAGGCUGUCUGCUUCGUGACAGGAUUGACAUGGAAAGGCGGGCACGAUGAAGCUGCAGCUGCUACGAUGUACCUAAAGGACACACUUACUACUGAAGAACAGCAACAACUAAUCACAUGUCUCUCCAAAGAUAAAGUAGAUAAUCCUCCCCCUCAUGAGAUCAUAAUCUCUCUAUAGUUAAUCUUUUAAUUGGUCUUUGUAUUGUAUCUGGUUUCUGAAUAGAGGAACGAAUUAUAGUGGAAAACAUUUACGGGUGGGGAAGUUGGGAAAUAAGCCAGAAAAUGCAACAAAAUAAGUAUCAAUAAGGAAAAAAAGAGUGCUCUGAUUUUAUGAAACCAGUCAGAAACUACUACUCGUGGUUGUGUUGAAGUUAGCUUCUUAGUACUGAGAGAAAACAAUGUACACAAUCUAUAGAUAAUAUUAUAUUCGAUUUAUUAUUCCAAAGAAAACCUUAGAAAUCAAUGGGAUGACGUGAUCAUAGUCCAUAUUUGCCAAUGUUAUUUGUGUUACGUCGGCUCUUCUUCCGGGCUCUUUUUCCUGUACCACACCUUGCUGCCCUUUUUGGAAGGUAUGUUUGCUUGCUUCGACCAAACCCAUCUCAUAGUCACUAAGAUUCGAUUUUAAGUGUUGGUUUGUUUGCUCAUGAUUGUUGUUCUCUGUUUCUUGAGACAAAUGCAGGGGAUUGCAGAGCUGUUCUCUGUAAGAAUGUGAAGCAAUAAAUAUGUCUCAAGACGAGACCAAUCUACUUACCAGAAAGAACAAGAGUGGAAGCUUUGUCAAUGACGGUUACUUAAACGGCAUUCUAUAAGUCACACAAGCUCUAGGCGAUUAGGACAUCGCAUAGCCAGAGAUCAAACAUAUACGUUAACAGAGGAAGACGAGUUUCUGAUAAUGAGAUGUGAGGGGAUUUGGGACGUUUUGACAAGUCAAGAAGAAGUGACAGAGCUUGCUUUAGAGGCUUCAAGGCUAAAUACAUUUGAUAACGUUUUGGUGGUUGUUGUUUGUUUCUUGUCGGCUGACGAAAUGGUGACGCGGCUCCUCCGGCGGAGAAGCAAUGGUGUUGUAGUUUGACUGCAGAAGCCUUUUAGAGCUUGAGGGUCUUAUAGGAUAGUUGUUUAAAAAGAUGAUGACGUUCCCUUUAGUGUUCUUGGCCAAGUUUUUUCUUGCUUUUGUAUAUAACUUUAAGUGUCUACGUGCUCCAUUUUUGUGCUCCAUGUAGUUCCCUCUUGAAAUUCAUGAGGAUUCAUUUUUGUAUAUAAUUGAAAUAGUGUUAUUUUAACGAAAUAAUUUUGUUCUUUCAA